This 253-nucleotide ribosomal RNA is filed under the name uncultured soil bacterium. RNAcentral describes it as "partial 16S ribosomal RNA". It matches the Rfam family "Bacterial small subunit ribosomal RNA", at positions 26 to 288 of the family's 1533-position model. The record is from RNAcentral.
AGGACGAACGCUGGCGGCGUGCUUAACACAUGCAAGUCACGGGGGUCCCGCAAGGGAUAACCGGCGAACGGGUGCGUAACACGUGAACAACCUGCCCUCGUGUGGGGGAUAGCCAUGCUAACGCGUGGGUAAUACCGCAUACGUUUCCUGAAGGGAGUCCUUUGGGAAGGAAAGCUCCGGCGCACGGGGAGGGGUUCGCGGCCUAUCAGCUAGUUGGCGGGGUAAUGGCCCACCAAGGCGACGACGGGUAGCU